GAUGAAGAACGUAGCGAAAUGCGAUAAGUAAUGCGAAUUGCAGAAUUCAGUGAAUCAUCGAAUCUUUGAACGCACAUUGCGCCCGCUAGUAUUCUGGCGGGCAUGCCUGUCUGAGCGUUAUUUCAACCCUCGCCCCCGGCUUUUGCUGGGAGCGGUGUUGGGGAUCGGCCGCCCGUCACUGGGAGGCCGGCCCCGAAAUAGAGUGGCGACCACGCCGUGUGCUCCUCUGCGUAGUAGUAAAUCACCUCGCAGGCGGACAGCGGUGCGGCCUGCCGUAAAACCCCCAACUCUUUCUGGUUGACCUCAGAUCAGGUAGGAAUACCCGCUGAACUUAAGCAUAUCAAUAAGCGGAGGA
Molecule: unclassified non-coding RNA, 355 nt
Filed under: soil metagenome
Description: partial contains 5.8S ribosomal RNA, internal transcribed spacer 2, and large subunit ribosomal RNA
Rfam family: 5.8S ribosomal RNA (bases 1-120)
Source: RNAcentral